This 271-nucleotide ribosomal RNA is filed under the name uncultured bacterium. RNAcentral's name for it is "partial 16S ribosomal RNA". It matches the Rfam family "Bacterial small subunit ribosomal RNA", at positions 524 to 794 of the family's 1533-position model. The record is from RNAcentral.
UACAGAGGUCUCAAGCGUUGUUCGGAAUCACUGGGCGUAAAGGGUGCGUAGGUGGCGUGGAAAGUCAGAUGUGAAAUCCGGAGGCUCAACCUCCGAAUUGCAUCCGAUACUCCCAUGCUAGAGAACUGGAGGGGAGUCUGGAAUUCUCGGUGUAGCAGUGAAAUGCGUAGAUAUCGAGAGGAACACUAGUGGCGAAGGCGAGACUCUGGACAGUUUCUGACACUGAUGCACGAAGGUCAGGGGAGCAAACGGGAUUAGAUACCCGAGUAGU